RNAcentral lists this ribosomal RNA (160 nucleotides) under uncultured marine bacterium. RNAcentral describes it as "partial 16S ribosomal RNA". It matches the Rfam family "Bacterial small subunit ribosomal RNA", at positions 355 to 507 of the family's 1533-position model. The record is from RNAcentral.
UGGGGAAUAUUGGACAAUGGGGACAACCCUGAUCCAGCCAUGCCGCGUGUGUGAAGAAGGCUUUCGGGUUGUAAAGCACUUUCAGUGAGGAGGAAAACCUUACGACUAAUACUCGUGAGGCUUGACGUUACUCACAGAAGAAGCACCGGCUAACUCCGUG